AGCGUCCAGAGUAGUGAUGCUGGACGGGCAGGCAGGUGCGGGCAGCGAUCGGUUGAAGAGCAUGCAUUUAGUUUUACUUGCAUUUAAGAGCAGUUGGAGGCCACGGAAGGAGAGUUGUACUUGUACUUUGUAAAACAAUAUUUCGGAGUUGAUCAAAUAUUUUGUUAGCCCACAGCAGACAGAUUAGAGUCUUCUCUUUUCAGCAGGAGCCAUUUGGUUUCCAACCUGUGUUUUCCCGUGAUUGUAUUUGAAAUAUUGCGAAAGGCCUGUUUUGUCAGCAUGCUGUUCACUGACAGAUUUGCAGGAGUUCCCGACAGUAGGCUAUGCCUUGUUAUUGGGCUACACACAAUCCAGAGCUAGGCUAAUUAAAAAAAAUAAACUAUUGAUCCUCUGUGGCUAAAUUAUAGGCCUUCUCGUGGUGUAGUAGGUAUCUGAACAGACAGCAGUUAUUCUAUAACUUUGGCAAAUGUAUUUCAAUUUAUCAGGGGUGCUGCAGCUCCUCCAGAAUCCUUCGCGCGGAGAUGAUUCUAUAAAGAAAUAAAUGCACUUCUAUAAAGAAGUGCAACCCUGGAGAGAUGAGAGUUGCAGGGUCAUGUCUAUCAGAGCAGAAAGAGGGAGAGAGAUCAUAGAAAGUGAAUCUCAUUCUAGUUCUGUGAGAGAUACAGGAGCGCUACUCACACUACUCACAAAGACGUGGCCACGCACUUAACAAGAGAACAUCCCUGCUCAUCCCCUGCCUCUGAUUUGGCGGACUCACUAAACACAAAUGCUUAAUUUGUUAUUAUGUCAGUGUUUUUGAGUGCCGCUGACUAUCCGUCAAUUAAAAAAACAAGAAAAUGGGGCCGUCUGGUUUGCCUGAUAUAAGGAAUUUGAAAUGAUUUAUACUUUAACUUUUGAUACUUAAGUAUAUGUUUGAAAUUACAUUUACUUUUAAUACUUAACUAUAUUUACAUCACUUUUAGACUUUUACCCAAGUAGUAUUUUACUGGGUGACUUUCCCUUUUACUUGAGUCAUUUUUCUGUUAAGGUAUCGUUACUUUAACACAAGUAUGACAAUUGGGUAUUUUUUCCACCACUGACAAGGCCACUGAUCCAUAAUAAUCAAUGAUAAUAGUCCUAUAAGCACUACAAGCGUGCCGCUAGAGGCCAAGGGUAACCCCACACUUAUAACAAUAAUCCACAUCAGUAGGAUAAAUGAACUGCACCAAUGUUCUUGUUCCAGCUGUAUCGGUUCGAUCCUGUUCUGGAUUCACGAGGACAAUUGUCAGUCUCACACUUUUAAUUGGUUCGAUGAAACACCAUUACAUCAGGAUUCGAUGUGGUUUGACUGAUAUUGAGUCAGGGAUGUGGCAAAGCAAGCCAAACAUAUCCCUUCCACUGUCACGCAGCUAUUCUAGAGUUGGAGGGCAAGGGAGACAGAUGCAUAGCAACAAGAUGAGAGGCUAAUAAACUGUCCAGAAUAACUUAACAGCUUAACAGAUACUUAAUUGAGACAAUUACUUUCCCCUUUCAGCAGAAACAACUUUGGGUUAGUUAAUUGGAAACAUUUAAGAUUUUUUUAAACCCAGACUUUUUGGACGUUUAGGCAUUUGUGGUACGCUUAUCUUGCUGGACUUCUUAUUAAUUUCUCAUUCAGACAGAACAGAAGUAACAAGGGUAACAUACUGACAGAGUGAUGGUUGUUCAUCUUCAGCUCUGGAGCUAUGAUCUCUGAGGCUGACAGACAGGGAGCAGUUAGACCCAAGAGGUCGCCAUCAGACGGGCACAGGGAUAGGGACAGGGACAGGGACCUCAGCCCCAGACGGAGAGCAGAAGCUGACCAAAACUAUUUACAGGAGAGACAUCAAGAGGGCAUCAAUGACCUCCCUGCAGGGAAGAGACAAAUGAUGGAGAAGUUUUUCACUCCUGUUCAUAGUCCUCCUCCAGGUGGGAUCACAUCACAGAAGCACCGCCAUCACCGGGAUCAAGAAAAGGAGAUACACAGCUACAGGAGGUCACGGAACAAUGAUAGACGCAGCAGUGAACGCCACGGUCACCACCAUCACCGUGGUAACCAUUUCCAAGAUGACCAGGAGCAAUCCCAUAGACGUCACCAUCAUCAUCCUCAGCACCUUCAUCACGAUGACGAGAUGUCGGAUCACCACACCACCGUCACCCUCUCCAGAGCAUCUUCCUCCUCCCUCUCAUCUUCCUCCUCUUCCUCUUCCUCCGACUCUUCCACCGAAUGGUCCGGCAUUGACGACAAGUUCUCCCUGAAGCACGCCAGCCGGCCGCAGCAUACCAUGUCCUGCUCCAACAUUGCAGGAGGACGACAGUUCCGGGAGGAUGACAGUGAGCUGCAGGUGUAUGCCACGGUCAAACAGGGGCGAAUGCACGGAGGAGGAAGCCCUGGGACCAACCAUCGGGCCCAGGGGAGGGGAGGACAAGAGCCCAGCUACUCCGAGCUCAACCGGGGCCAUAGCCGCAGUGAAGAGGGGUUGCUGCAGAAUACAGGCACUGACAGAGGGAAAGCACGGACACCCCCACACCUGAAGCACGGAUCCCUCUACAAGACAGCCAGCCUGGGCCGUAGCCUGGCCUUCAGUGAAGAGGUCCUGGCUGGGCCAAAGAGGGCGGUGUCCUCGAUCCAGCUCCCCAGUAAAGGCAUCCUGAAAAACAAGGAGGCGCCGCCGGACAUCCGCAAGGCCAAGUCCAUGGAGGUGCUGUCUUCCCGGGUAGCAGGCAAGACAGCAGGGCCCAAGGGGAAGCAGGAUGUGGAGGCUCUGAAGGAUGCAGCCAGGCAGAGCAUGGUGAAGGGGAAGAUACAGUUCUCUGCCUUCCUGGAUGAGAUCACUAAACAGGUCAUCAGCCCCGCCCGUCUCAAUACUCUGGGGGUACCUGUCGAGACUGUAGGACCGGGUCCAGCCAAAACCCCAGCAUCCCCCAAAUCUCAACUGAAAAGUCAGCCCCAGCUUCCCUUGAAAAAGCAGGGAGAUGGGCAGGGGGAGGAGAGGGAAACGGUUACUAAACCUAGAAAACUGAGGAAUGACUCUGACACACGGUCACGGAAAAUAUCUCUCCCUACAAAGUUUGGGUAUGAAAGCAAGAACCACACUCCUUGUCUAGGCAGCCCCCCAACCCACCACUCCAGCCAACCCUACCCGCCCCACCCACCGGCUGGCUAUGAAGACCAACCAGCCUCCCUGCCUGACUUCCAGGGUCCUGUCGGUAAUAGGCAUGGGCGGUAUGGCUCCCUUCUUACAGACGGCACUGUCAGCUCCAGCCCUGAGCCCAGCCAUCACAAACACCGUAGCUACAAACACCUUGACCAGAGCCACAGGCCCACCCAUAGCCCACCUUCAUCUCCACACACCCAGCAACCCCAGCUACCCCACCGCACCCCAAUCCGCACACACUCCCCUCCUCCAGUGCCAGGGCCCGAGUCGGAGUCUCCCUCCAGCAAGUCUGACUCAUCCCGGAACAGAGACCGAGACACGGCCAGCCCCAGCUCCGAGCAGAGCAACCGCCACAACCGGUCAACCUACCGCUGGCAUCCAAAGCCACACAGGACCUUGACAGGUGACACAGGCGAACUCCAGGCACUGCAGGAGGAGAAUGCUGAGCUGCACCAGAACCUGAUGCAAACAGUGGUCUGCAUCGAGAGCCUGGAGGCGGAGCUAGCCAGGGCCAGGGAGGAGCUUAGCCACAUGAAGGAGAAGUUCAAGAGGCUCCAGGACACACACACAGGUACCCAGCACACCAACAGCCUUCUGGGGGAGAAACUGCACUCAGCGACUGAGAGCCUUAGCUCUGAGAGGAAGUAUAUGGUGCAGCGUAUCGCCCAUCUCAGCACAGAGCUGGAGCAGGCCAACGCCACCAUCGCCUCUCUGGAGAACAUCAAUGUUCCCUGUCUGAUCAAGGAGCUCCUAGAGAAGCACUUUGACUCUGGAGACACUGUCAAGCAGUUCCUGAAGAACGCCUUGAAAACCGGCCAAUCCACAAGCGACAUCCAAUCACCUGCUACAAAACUGGAGCAGAAGCCAUCUGAUUGGUCAGGUGCAGGACUCAGGGAGUUUGAGGCGGGUCCACAAAAGGUCACUGCUUUUAUGCCCUGGAAGCAGGAGGAGGGGUUUGGGGUGAUAGGUCAGACAGGAAAUGAGGAUUCUCGCCCGAUGAGUCCCCCUUUCUCCGUCGCUGACAUCAGUAUGGCUAUCUAUAAGAAACUAGCUGCCAGCCAAGCGGCAAGACAGCCCCGGCCUUCCAACUACCAACCUCACACUGACACCCCUCCCAACCCCUACCCUCUGGUGGAGUUGGGUACAGGGGGUGCAGGAGGUGCAUGGGAGGAGGGUUACCUUGUGCCUGCUGUCAAGGAGGGCAUGGCAGUUGCAGGGAGAGCAGCUGAGAGUAAGCAGGGUGCUGUUGUUGAUGUGUCCUAUCUGACGGCCCAGAGGGUUCUGGAUGACUUCAUGCACCAGCUGACACACCCAGAGGAUGGGAGCGCAGGUGGGGAGAGGGGGCAUAAGGCCAACGGGGGAGGGGGAACAACUGAAGAGAAGGGGGCAGAGUGAAACGAACCUAUGAAUUGCUGUAAUUGUAACCUUAUAUUACAUAGGCUAGGAUUGUUCAAGAUGUGAUGGUUUGUUUGUGAUGGUUUGAGGCCUGUAGUUCUGCAUUUAUUUAACAUUUUAAUGUCACUAUACAUUUGAGUGAUGGCAUUGUAAAUAUUACAUUCUGUUUCUUUCCCAAAUGUCUUGUGGUGCAGUUGUAAAGAAAGUAUUAGACUUAAACAAUUAAUUGAACUAUAUACAGAAUAUAAUUAUUAAUCCAAAUUUGCAAUGUGAUACAGUCCAUCCUUUUCCUUGUGAAGUGAUGCAGAAUUUAAAUGUUUUGUUAAUGCCUAGACAGUGAGUAGAAUUUUCUAUUUUAUAACAAUGACCGCUAUUUUGUAAGCUCCAGUAAGCCAAUGAAGGAACCUUCAUAUCUGAAUAACAUCGAUCCAGCUGGCAUUAACGUAUUACCCACUGUGUUUUGGGCUAUCAUGUCACAUGACCUAGAGUUUAACCUUUAUUUUAAGCCUUUUCCAGAAAUGAGAACUAUGAAAGCAAUUGUCUGAGGAUGGUGUCGGAGGAUGCUGCUGGACCAUCUGACAUAAAAAGAAAAGGGGACAGUUUGAUGAAAAAAUUUAAAUAAAGGUUCAAAUCCAGGUCUUGUGACAUGACUGUGCAAAACACAGGGCCCUACAUUAACGCUAUGCUGUCCAUCCUAAUGAACUGUCUUAGCUAAAACUGUAUAAAGCUGCUGUCCCCCCCAAGACUUUUGAUGUUGUAGAUUAAUAAAAUGACUAAUUCUAAA
Molecule: long non-coding RNA, 5334 nt
Filed under: Salmo salar (Atlantic salmon)
Lineage: Eukaryota; Metazoa; Chordata; Actinopteri; Salmoniformes; Salmonidae
Description: lncRNA (ENSSSAG00000047551.2)
Source: RNAcentral